GAAGGGAUGGCUCAGUAGUUAAGAGCACUGACUGCUCUUCCAGAGGACCUAGGUUCAAUUCCCAGUACCCACA
Cricetulus griseus (Chinese hamster) is the source of this 73-nucleotide non-coding RNA. Lineage: Eukaryota; Metazoa; Chordata; Mammalia; Rodentia; Cricetidae. The record is from Rfam.